This 180-nucleotide ribosomal RNA is filed under the name uncultured bacterium. RNAcentral describes it as "partial 16S ribosomal RNA". It matches the Rfam family "Bacterial small subunit ribosomal RNA", at positions 332 to 508 of the family's 1533-position model. The record is from RNAcentral.
CAGACUCCUACGGGAGGCAGCAGUGGAGGAAUAUUGGUCAAUGGGCGAGAGCCUGAACCAGCCAAGUAGCGUGCAGGAUGACGGCCCUAUGGGUUGUAAACUGCUUUUAUAAGGGAAUAAAGUGAGCCUCGUGAGGCUUUUUGCAUGUACCUUAUGAAUAAGGACCGGCUAAUUCCGUGC